Tympanuchus pallidicinctus (lesser prairie-chicken) is the source of this 1095-nucleotide RNA transcript. It is a transcript of the gene named ras GTPase-activating-like protein IQGAP1, with no coding region annotated. The transcript has 5 exons. NCBI's taxonomy places the organism in Eukaryota, Metazoa, Chordata, Aves, Galliformes, Phasianidae. The record is from RefSeq and is a predicted model, not a curated record.
GGAAUCAGCAGCUGGCUGUUGGUGUUCCUGUUUCAGCCUGGGAAAACCAUCUUCUGUGGCCAAACGCCAACUGCAGUGCAAUGCCAGGGAGCCUGCAGAAAUGCAAGUCGUAGUGCUGGCAGGUGAUUCGUGCUCUUGUCAACCGAGCAGAGCCAGAGCAUGUAGUGAUGCUGGGCUGUGUGCUUCCACCAAUGGAGAGCUGUUGGGAAGCACAAAUGGCUGCGGUUCAGCUGACAGCCUGCCGCAUAACAACAGUGAUGGAAAGAAGGAGCUGAUCCAAGUUGAAGCCCUCAUUUCUCCCGGCUGACACAAAACUGGGCAGAGUGGCUGACACAGCAAAAGGCUGUGCUGCCUUCCAGCGAGACCUGGAGAGUUGGGUGGGGAGAAACGGAAUGAGAAAGAACAAGGGCAGGUGAUCCUGCCCCAGCAGGGGGAUUGGACGAGGUGAUCUUUGGAGGUCCCUUCCAAUUCCUGACAUUCUGUGAUUCUGUGCAAAGUUGGUUCACGGUAGUACUUUUGCUGCUGGGAAAUAGGAGCGCUGAUCUUUGGGAAGUUCCGGAUGCUGUCAGGAGUUAUUCAAGCCCAUUGGUGUUAAUUUGACCCUGGACUGGCUGCUGCUUGACAUGCUGUCUGCACAGAGGUAACACAUGCAUUAAUUUGUUUCCUGUCCUCUGCUGUUUUGUCUCUUGUUUUUAGUUAAUGCUGAAAACCCACCUACGGCUGUGGUUGGGAAAUUGGUUCACUUGCUCGAUCGGACCCAGAUUUUCAGGAGGAGCUGGAGCUAAUGAAACUGUGUGAGGAAGCUGUGACCUUGAUCCGAUCUAAUCAACAGCUUGAAAAUGACCUCAAUCUCAUGGACCUCAAGAUUGGACUGCUAGUGAAGAACAGAAUGACACUGCAGAAAGAGAACUGCAGCAGAAACAUCAAGGCUUCAAGUGUUUUAAAAACAAAGCACCAGAAAAAAACCCACUGGGGACCAAGGGAAAGCAAUAGAUGGUAUGCUUGAAGGCUCUGAGAACUGUUUGUCUGUUCACUUGUGGUUACGUGAGUCAUGGACUUGCACACCUUAAUUUCUUCUCACGUUUUGUGUGCUGU